GCUUUGUUUAGUACCACUUUUCCUUUGAUAGGCAGCCGGAAGUUUUCGCUGCUGUCAUCUAAAUGAGUAAGCAUAAGUCAACACAUAAGGUUGUCAUUUCAAUGGGCUAAAAAAUCAACUGAAUAUCACCACUAACAUGUGGAAUAGUAAUGUUCUGUGAUAAAAGAUGAACUUCCAGAUCUCAUCAUUUCUGCAGUCAAUCGCUGGAUGCCAAGAUGGACAGCCAGACAACAGGAAUCAUAAACAAAUGACCAGAUCACCACAUUGGAUUGCCCAUUCGUAAAUGAAAUGCAGUCCCGGCAUCUUCUGCAAUAGUAAUUGCACCUUAAAGAAAAUAUGUGUAGGCUAUAUUUAUAUGAGAAUAGUUAAUACGAGGUUUAACAUCUUGCAAUAAACUUAAUUUCGCUGACUGUA
Long non-coding RNA from Daphnia carinata, 414 nucleotides. RefSeq lists it as uncharacterized. The record is from RefSeq and is a predicted model, not a curated record. Lineage: Eukaryota; Metazoa; Arthropoda; Branchiopoda; Diplostraca; Daphniidae. The transcript has 3 exons.